RNAcentral lists this ribosomal RNA (410 nucleotides) under uncultured microorganism. RNAcentral's name for it is "bacterial SSU rRNA". It matches the Rfam family "Bacterial small subunit ribosomal RNA", at positions 509 to 917 of the family's 1533-position model. The record is from RNAcentral.
CAGCCGCCGCGGUAAUACGUAGGGUGCGAGCGUUAAUCGGAUUUACUGGGCGUAAAGCGUGCGCAGGCGGCCCGUUAAGACAGGUGUGAAAUCCCUGGGCUCAACCUAGGAAUUGCGCUUGUGACUGGCGGGCUCGAGUACGGUAGAGGGGGGUGGAAUUCCUGGUGUAGCAGUGAAAUGCGUAGAGAUCAGGAGGAACACCGAUGGCGAAGGCAGCCCCCUGGGCCUGUACUGACGCUCAUGCACGAAAGCGUGGGGAGUAAACAGGAUUAGAUACCCUGGUAGUCCACGCCCUAAACGAUGGGUACUAGCCGUUUGGUGCGCGAUAGCGCUGAGUGGCGAAGCUAACGCGUGAAGUACCCCGCCUGGGGAGUACGGCCGCAAGGUUGAAACUUAAAGGAAUUGGCGGG